UAGGGAAUAUUAGAAAUGGACGAAAGUCUGAUCUAGCAACACCGCGUGUGCGAAGAAGGCCUUCGGGUCGUAAAGCACUUUUUGGAAGGAAUAGGAAGGAAUGUACUUCCAGAAUAAGUCUCGGCUAACUACGUGCCAGCAGCCGCGGUAACACGUAGGAGGCGAACGUUAUCCGGAUUUACUGGGCGUAAAGCGCGUGUAGGUGGUUCUGUAAGUAGGGCGUGAAAGCUCCUGGCUCAACUGGGAGAGGCCGUUCUAAACUACAGAACUAGAGGAUGGUAGAGGGAUGUGGAAUUCCAGGUGUAGCGGUGGAAUGCGCAGAUAUCUGGAGGAACUCCGGUGGCGAAGGCAGACUCCUGGACCAUUCCUGACGCUCAUACGCGAAAGCUAGGGUAGCAAUCG
Molecule: ribosomal RNA, 402 nt
Filed under: uncultured prokaryote
Description: bacterial SSU rRNA
Rfam family: Bacterial small subunit ribosomal RNA
Source: RNAcentral